AUGCCUUUCUCGGCCUUUUGGUUAAGAUUAAGUGUAGUACCUGUUCUUAUCAGUUUAAUAUAGGAAUUAUCUACUCACACGAUAUUAACUCAAUUUUUUAAGGGAGAAGGAUCAUAAGAGUAGCUUGCUACUCGGGCCUUUGUGUGUUGCCUAGGCGUUGCACUAUAGCCUAGGCCUGGUGCACCCCAC
Molecule: small nuclear RNA, 189 nt
Organism: Lycium barbarum (goji berry)
Lineage: Eukaryota; Viridiplantae; Streptophyta; Magnoliopsida; Solanales; Solanaceae
Product: U2 spliceosomal RNA
Exons: 1
Source: RefSeq, a predicted model, not a curated record